Molecule: ribosomal RNA, 459 nt
Filed under: uncultured bacterium
Lineage: Bacteria
Description: partial 16S ribosomal RNA
Rfam family: Bacterial small subunit ribosomal RNA
Source: RNAcentral
CUACGGGGUGCAGCAGUAAGGAAUAUUGCGCAAUGGAGGCAACUCUGACGCAGCCAUGCCGCGUGCAGGAAGAAGGCCUUAUGGGUCGUAAGCUGCUUUUAUUAGGGAAUAAACCCUCGCUCGUGAGCGAGGCUGAAGGUACCUAAAGAAUAAGCACCGGCUAACUCCGUGCCAGCAGCCGCGGUAAUACGGAGGGUGCAAGCGUUAUCCGGAUUUAUUGGGUUUAAAGGGUGCGCAGGCGGACUAUUAAGUCAGUGGUGAAAUCCCGGGGCUCAACCUCGGAACUGCCAUUGAUACUGAUAGUAUUGAGUUUGGUUGAAGUAGGCGGAAUGUAGCAUGUAGCGGUGAAAUGCAUAGAUAUGCUACAGAACACCAAUCGCGAAGGCAGCUUACUAAGCCAAAACUGACGCUCAUGCACGAAAGCGUGGGGAGCAAACAGGAUUAGAUACCCCCGUAGUC